GUGUCAGCAGCCGCGGUAAGACAGAGGGUGCAAACGUUGUUCGGAAUUACUGGGCGUAAAGCGCGUGUAGGCUGCUCGGAAAGUCGGAUGUGAAAGCCCUGGGCUCAACCUAGGAAGUGCAUUCGAAACUUCCGAGCUGGAGUGCUGGAGAGGAAGGCGGAAUUCUCGGUGUAGAGGUGAAAUUCGUAGAUAUCGAGAGGAACACCGGUGGCGAAGGCGGCCUUCUGGACAGCCACUGACGCUGAGACGCGAAAGCGUGGGGAGCAAACAGGAUUAGAUACCCGUGUAGUCC
This 292-nucleotide ribosomal RNA is filed under the name uncultured bacterium. RNAcentral's name for it is "partial 16S ribosomal RNA". It matches the Rfam family "Bacterial small subunit ribosomal RNA", at positions 505 to 796 of the family's 1533-position model. The record is from RNAcentral.